GCCGAAAUAGCUCAGUGGUAGAGCAUUUAGACUUGUACUCUGAAAGGGUCCCUUGGUUCGAUUCCAGGUUUCGGCA
Frieseomelitta varia is the source of this 76-nucleotide non-coding RNA. The record is from the annotation of a RefSeq genome assembly. Lineage: Eukaryota; Metazoa; Arthropoda; Insecta; Hymenoptera; Apidae.